AGUGGCGAACGGGUGAGUAAUAUAUCGGAACGUGCCCUGAAGUGGGGGAUAACGUAGCGAAAGUUACGCUAAUACCGCAUACUAUCUGAGGAUGAAAGUGGGGGACCUGUGAGGGCCUCAUGCUUUAGGAGCGGCCGAUAUCUGAUUAGCUAGUUGGUGGGGUAAAAGCCUACCAAGGCGACGAUCAGUAGCUGGUCUGAGAGGACGACCAGCCACACUGGAACUGAGACACGGUCCAGACUCC
RNAcentral lists this ribosomal RNA (244 nucleotides) under uncultured bacterium. RNAcentral's name for it is "partial 16S ribosomal RNA". It matches the Rfam family "Bacterial small subunit ribosomal RNA", at positions 94 to 339 of the family's 1533-position model. The record is from RNAcentral.